This 554-nucleotide small RNA is filed under the name Microdochium bolleyi. RNAcentral describes it as "eukaryotic LSU rRNA". The stretch from base 182 to 335 matches the Rfam family "5.8S ribosomal RNA". Lineage: Eukaryota; Fungi; Ascomycota; Sordariomycetes; Xylariales; Microdochiaceae. The record is from RNAcentral.
GUAACAAGGUCUCCGUAGGUGAACCUGCGGAGGGAUCAUUACUGAGUUUUUAACUCUCCAAACCAUGUGAACUUACCACUGUUGCCUCGGUGGUCGGUGCUGGAAACAGUGCUGCCACCGGUGGACUACUAAACUCUUGUUAAUUUUUGUCAAAUCUGAAUCAAACUAAGAAAUAAGUUAAAACUUUCAACAACGGAUCUCUUGGUUCUGGCAUCGAUGAAGAACGCAGCGAAAUGCGAUAAGUAAUGUGAAUUGCAGAAUUCAGUGAAUCAUCGAAUCUUUGAACGCACAUUGCGCCCAUUAGUAUUCUAGUGGGCAUGCCUGUUCGAGCGUCAUUUCAACCCUUAAGCCUAGCUUAGUGUUGGGAGACUGCCUAAUACGCAGCUCCUCAAAACCAGUGGCGGAGUCUGUUCGUGCUCUGAGCGUAGUAAUUUUUUAUCUCGCUUCUGCAAGCCGGCCAGACGACAGCCAUAAACCGCACCCUCUCGGGGGGCACUUUUUUAAUGGUUGACCUCGGAUCAGGUAGGAAUACCCGCUGAACUUAAGCAUAUCAU